Long non-coding RNA from Cuculus canorus (common cuckoo), 2293 nucleotides. RefSeq lists it as uncharacterized. The transcript has 3 exons. NCBI's taxonomy places the organism in Eukaryota, Metazoa, Chordata, Aves, Cuculiformes, Cuculidae. The record is from RefSeq and is a predicted model, not a curated record.
AUUGCAGAAAGCAUGUGGAAUAGAGCCAAAGCAGAGAUACUAACUCCAGCAUAACCCAUGUUCCCUCAGUCUUGCACAUCCUCAAGGACAGUUUAUCUUUUGACCUAACUCUCAGAACUUUUCUGUGUCCGAUCCAGGCCACGGGCAUGACUUCGCAGCAUGAGAACGAGCCCUUCGUUAUGUGAAGAUAUCCUUAAGGUAAUAGAUACCUGAAAGACAUAGAUUCUGAACUGGGAUGGUGUCCACAGCACAGGCUUAAUCAUGCUCACGCUUUACCAAAGAGCAUGGGCCUCUUGCUGAAAAGUGGCCCUUUUCUCCUACAAGAUGGAAUCUCCCAGAAGAGCAGAAGGAUGCUCAGACUGUUUAGAUAAAGGCUGAUAACUACUUGUUGAGAAGAGACGGAGAGGGAAGUAACCAGAGAGAGAGGAAGGAAGCAAAGACUGCAGCUGAAUUUCAGGUAGAAGAAUACAAUAUUUUGGAUAAGCUAGUAGUAACCAAGAGGAAGUAGUGCAAAUUUGUGUAAGGCACUACUGACACUGAAAAUUUGCCUGACAUCCAAACUAGCAUAAAUAAAAUAAGCAAAAGCAAGCAGCUAAAUAUUGGCACCACAGAUACGUUUUGCAUUGUUCCUUGCAUUAUGUCCAUGUUGUGCUCUGCCCAUGAUCCCAGAUGACCCACACAGCUCGGGAGCAUCCAGGCUGGGGAAGCCCUCAACAUCAGACUGUUCAUACACUGCUUGCCUCUGCCUUUCUCUGACUUGUCCUGAACAAGGACAGCAGAUCCCCCGCCUAUGCCCUCUCCCUCAUCUCUGCCCUAAGUUCAAAUAUUUAUUUUCAAGUACUGCCCAAGUUCUUGUCUCUUUUUUCCUUCCCCUCUUGGGGAUCUGCAAAAGCUGCUUUGAACUCUAGUGUACCUGUACCAGUGCAGUGGCCAGUGAAUGCUUUAUGUUACAGAGACAUGCUACCUGUCGAUCCAAUCGUGGAAUCUUUCCUGCAGAAAUAUCCAUAUCUCAUGAAGCUGGAAAAGCAUGGCCAAUAUGGAGCAAAUAAAUCUAUCUGCAUGUGGACUUUGACUGGUAUCAAACUGGCUCAUUUAUUGCCACAACUCUUUGCUGGGAGAUUUUUGUUCUGCUGUAGAGCUGCUAAAUUCCCCUCGAGUACUAUUAGUGUUGCUGCUUUUUAUGUCUCUCUCCAUGACACUACUCAAUGCAAGUUAUAAUUAACUCAGAGGAAGUAGAAGGGGAUGGACUCUGUUGAGAGGGAGAAGGGUACAGAAUAGGAAAAUAUAAUGCCAAAUAACCUUUGGGGUUUCUAGCAUCCCUUGAACACUUGGGCCUUGGUUAUUUUUAGGCUUUACCUUUCUACUGAACAGCAACUCUGUUGUCAGCCGCAAACUACAGCAAUCAGGACUAAUUUUCAGGGCUGAGAGAGGAUUUGAAUAAUUUGACUUGUAAGACCUUUGUACUGGCCUUUUGCACAAGACUGGUUUUUAACCCUGGAGAACUACAGAAGUCACCCCUGGCUGAGAUUCUAGUACAAAAGGUGAAAAUGUGUCUGUUUUCCAGCAACACUGGACAGUCCAGAGAACAAUUUAUUGUUUAACUAUUAAAGAUUUAAAUAUCAAAUGCAGGGCCCGUCCUGAUUCCCACAGAUCCCCCUGUUUGCGUGCACACACAUAACCUGGAGGGUUAGUAUGCAGCUGAGGCACGCAAAGGCAGACUGAGAGAGGGUAGCAUAGCAUUUCUGAAGGUACACGCACUUAAAUAGGAUCCUGGUGAGGCUUCUUGCAUUUUUUCAAGUAUAGCAUUGUGGAAGAAAAGGGUAGAAAAACCAGCAAACUACUGCUAAAGGCACUAAAGUAUAUGCUUCGGACAGAGAAUUUUUUCCUCUAACAGCAAACUGUGAAUCGUAAUGGGAAGUUGGGGAUCAGCUUACAGAAUCCUUGGAAGCCAAAAAGAAAAAAUAAAGUGUCCUCACUGACUUUGACAUUUCUCCUGCAGGUACAUACAGCCAUGAGUAACUUUACGCAGCUGAGUAAACAUACCGAGUUCAGCAGGACCACUCUUACGUGCAUGUUACUCACCUGGGUCUUAGUAAUGUAUGCUCACAGUCUAAAUAUUUCAUACUUUCGAACUAUUAAAAAAGUGAGUUUCUGAACCAAGAAGCCAUUUGAAUAACUAACGUGCUACUUUGAUCUGCAUUUUAAUUUGAAAACUCAUUAUUAUUUACAUGAUAAACAUAAAGGGUGCAUUUGGAGUUGUUAUGAUCCUUCUGGUAAAUCUGUAUUUAAGCAU